CGAGGGGAGUGAAAAAGAACCUGAAACCGUGUACGUACAAGCAGUGGGAGCACGCUUAGGCGUGUGACUGCGUACCUUUUGUAUAAUGGGUCAGCGACUUAUAUUCUGUAGCAAGGUUAACCGAAUAGGGGAGCCGAAGGGAAACCGAGUCUUAACUGGGCGUUAAGUUGCAGGGUAUAGACCCGAAACCCGGUGAUCUAGCCAUGGGCAGGUUGAAGGUUGGGUAACACUAACUGGAGGACCGAACCGACUAAUGUUGAAAAAUUAGCGGAUGACUUGUGGCUGGGGGUGAAAGGCCAAUCAAACCGGGAGAUAGCUGGUUCUCCCCGAAAGCUAUUUAGGUAGCGCCUCGUGAAUUCAUCUCCGGGGGUAGAGCACUGUUUCGGCAAGGGGGUCAUCCCGACUUACCAACCCGAUGCAAACUGCGAAUACCGGAGAAUGUUAUCACGGGAGACACACGGCGGGUGCUAACGUCCGUCGUGAAGAGGGAAACAACCCAGACCGCCAGCUAAGGUCCCAAAGUCAUGGUUAAGUGGGAAACGAUGUGGGAAGGCCCAGACAGCCAGGAUGUUGGCUUAGAAGCAGCCAUCAUUUAAAGAAAGCGUAAUAGCUCACUGGUCGAGUCGGCCUGCGCGGAAGAUGUAACGGGGCUAAACCAUGCACCGAAGCUGCGGCAGCGACGCUGAUGCGUUGUUGGGUAGGGGAGCGUUCUGUAAGCCUGUGAAGGUGUACUGUGAGGUAUGCUGGAGGUAUCAGAAGUGCGAAUGCUGACAUAAGUAACGAUAAAGCGGGUGAAAAGCCCGCUCGCCGGAAGACCAAGGGUUCCUGUCCAACGUUAAUCGGGGCAGGGUGAGUCGACCCCUAAGGCGAGGCCGAAAGGCGUAGUCGAUGGGAAACAGGUUAAUAUUCCUGUACUUGGUGUUACUGCGAAGGGGGGACGGAGAAGGCUAUGUUGGCCGGGCGACGGUUGUCCCGGUUUAAGCGUGUAGGCUGGUUUUCCAGGCAAAUCCGGAAAAUCAAGGCUGAGGCGUGAUGACGAGGCACUACGGUGCUGAAG
Molecule: ribosomal RNA, 1057 nt
Filed under: Escherichia coli
Lineage: Bacteria; Pseudomonadati; Pseudomonadota; Gammaproteobacteria; Enterobacterales; Enterobacteriaceae
Description: partial 23S ribosomal RNA
Rfam family: Bacterial large subunit ribosomal RNA
Source: RNAcentral